UUGGCGGACGGGUGGAGUAACGACGUGGAAAACCUAGCCGUAUACUGGGGAGUAACACUUAGAAAUAAGGUGCUAAUACCGCAUAAGCGCACAGCUUCGCAUGAAGCGGUGUGAAAAACUCUGGUGGUAUACGAUGGUUCCGCGUCUGAUUAGCUAGUUGGUGGGGUAAUGGCCUACCAAGGCAACGAUCAGUAGCCGGCCUGAGAGGGUGAACGGCCACAUUGGGACUGAGACACGGCCCAAACUCCUACGGGAGGCAGCAG
This 263-nucleotide ribosomal RNA is filed under the name uncultured bacterium. RNAcentral's name for it is "partial 16S ribosomal RNA". It matches the Rfam family "Bacterial small subunit ribosomal RNA", at positions 95 to 354 of the family's 1533-position model. The record is from RNAcentral.